GAUCAACGCUGGCGGCGUGCAUGAGACAUGCAAGUCGAACGAAGGAUCGGGCUUGCUCGAUCCUUAGUGGCGGACGGCUGAGUAACGCGUAGGUGACCUACCCCGAAGUGGGGAAUAACUGCCCGAAAGGGUGGCUAAUACCGCAUGUGGUCGCACGUUCAUUCGUGCGAGUAAAGCCGCAAGGCGCUUCGGGAGGGGCCUGCGUCCGAUUAGCUCGUUGGUGGGGUAAUGGCUUACCAAGGCGACGAUCGGUAGGUGGUCUGAGAGGACGAUCACCCAGACUGGGACUGAGACACGGCCCAGACUCCUACGGGAGGCAGCAGUCGGGAAUUUUGCUCAAUGGGGGAAACCCUGAAGCAGCAACGCCGCGUGAGGGAUGAAGGCCUUCGGGUUGUAAACCUCUUUUGUCAGGGACGAUAAUGACGGUACCUGGCGAAUAAGCCACGGCUAACUACGUG
RNAcentral lists this ribosomal RNA (458 nucleotides) under uncultured bacterium. Its description in RNAcentral is "partial 16S ribosomal RNA". It matches the Rfam family "Bacterial small subunit ribosomal RNA", at positions 28 to 507 of the family's 1533-position model. The record is from RNAcentral.